RNAcentral lists this ribosomal RNA (691 nucleotides) under uncultured prokaryote. Its description in RNAcentral is "bacterial SSU rRNA". It matches the Rfam family "Bacterial small subunit ribosomal RNA", at positions 28 to 737 of the family's 1533-position model. The record is from RNAcentral.
GAUGAACGCUGACAGAAUGCUUAACACAUGCAAGUCGAUUCGAUUUACCUUCGGGUAUUGAGGAUGGCGGACGGGUGAGUAACGCGUAAGGAACUUGCCUCUUGGUCUGGGACAACUGUUGGAAACGACAGCUAAUACCGGAUAUUAUGAGAUUCUCGCAUGGGAAACUUAUGAAAGCUAUAUGCGCCAAGAGAGAGCCUUGCGUUCCAUUAGCUAGUUGGUGGGGUAACGGCCCACCAAGGCGACGAUGGAUAGCCGGCCUGAGAGGGUGAACGGCCACAAGGGGACUGAGACACGGCCCUUACUCCUACGGGAGGCAGCAGUGGGGAAUAUUGGACAAUGGGCCACAAGCCUGAUCCAGCAAUUCUGUGUGCACGAUGAAGGUCUUCGGAUUGUAAAGUGCUUUCAGUUGGGAAGAAGAAAGUGACGGUACCAACAGAAGAAGCGACGGCUAAAUACGUGCCAGCAGCCGCGGUAAUACGUAUGUCGCAAGCGUUAUCCGGAUUUAUUGGGCGUAAAGCGCGUCUAGGCGGAAAAAUAAGUCUGAUGUUAAAAUGCGGGGCUCAACUCCGUAUUGCGUUGGAAACUGUUUUUCUAGAGUACUGGAGAGGUGGGCGGAACUACAAGUGUAGAGGUGAAAUUCGUAGAUAUUUGUAGGAAUGCCGAUGGAGAANUCAGCUCACUGGACAGA